GACGAACGCUGGCGGCGUGCCUAAUACAUGCAAGUCGAACGAUGAAGGCGGAGCUUGCUUCUCUGGAUGAGUUGCGAACGGGUGAGUUACGCGUAGGUAACCUGCCUGGUCGCGGGGGAUAACUAUUGGAAACGUAAGCUAAUCCCGCAUAACAGUAGAUAUCGCUUGAUAUCUACUCGAUAGGUGCAAUUGCUUCACUACCAGAUGGAUCUGAGUUGUAUUAGCUAGUUGGUGAGGUAACGGCUCACCAAGGCGACGAUACAUAGCCGACCUGCGAGGGUGAUCGGCCACACUGGGACUGAGACACGGCCCAGACUCCUACGGGAGGCAGCAGUAGGGAAUCUUCGGCAAUGGACGGAAGUCUGACCGAGCAACGCCGCGUGAGUGAAGAAGGUUUUCGGAUCGUAAAGCUCUGUUGUAAGAGAAGAACGAGUGUGAGAGUGGAAAGUUCACACUGUGACGGUAUCUUACCAGAAAGGGACGGCUAACUACGUG
Molecule: ribosomal RNA, 495 nt
Filed under: uncultured bacterium
Lineage: Bacteria
Description: partial 16S ribosomal RNA
Rfam family: Bacterial small subunit ribosomal RNA
Source: RNAcentral